UGCGCAGGCGGGCUUGUAAGUCAGUGGUGAAAUUUUGCGGCUUAACCGUAAAACUGUCAUUGAUACUGCAAGUCUUGAAUAUGGUUGAGGUAGGCGGAAUGUGUUGUGUAGCGGUGAAAUGCAUAGAUAUGACACAGAACGCCGAUUGCGAAGGCAGCUUACUAAGCCAUGAUUGACGCUGAGGCACGAAAGCGUGGGGAGCGAACAGGAUUAGAUACCCUGGUAGUCC
This 229-nucleotide ribosomal RNA is filed under the name uncultured bacterium. RNAcentral's name for it is "partial 16S ribosomal RNA". It matches the Rfam family "Bacterial small subunit ribosomal RNA", at positions 568 to 796 of the family's 1533-position model. The record is from RNAcentral.